GAGUUUGAUUCUGGCUCCCAUCGAACGUUAGCGGCGGGCCUAACACAUGCAACUCGAACGAGAAAGCUCUUCGGAGUGAGUAAAGUGGCGCACGGGUGAGUAACACGUAGGUAAUCUACCCUUUGGCGGGGGAUAACGCUCCGAAAGGAACGCUAUACCGCGUAAGACCACAGCUACCACGGUAGCAGUGGUAAAAGGUGCCCUUAAAGCACCACCGAAGGAUGAGCCUGCGUCCCAUCAGCUUGUUGGUAAGGUAACGGCUUACCAAGGCUAAGACGGGUAGCUGGUCUGAGAGGAUGGUCAGCCACACUGGUACUGGAACACGGACCAGACUCCUACGGGAGGCAGCAGUGAGGAAUAUUGGGCAAUGGGCGCAAGCCUGACCCAGCCACGCCGCGUGUGUGAUGAAGGCCUUCGGGUCGUAAAGCACUGUGGGGAGAGACGAAAAAGCUCGUUUAGGAAAUGAUCGAGCCCUUGACGGUACCUCCUUAGCAAGCACCGGCCUAACUCUGUGCCAGCAGCCGCGGUAAUAC
Molecule: ribosomal RNA, 533 nt
Filed under: uncultured Polyangiaceae bacterium
Lineage: Bacteria; Pseudomonadati; Myxococcota; Polyangiales; Polyangiaceae
Description: bacterial SSU rRNA
Rfam family: Bacterial small subunit ribosomal RNA
Source: RNAcentral